GCAAGUCGAGCGCACCUUCGGGUGAGCGGCGGACGGGUUAGUAACGCGUGGGAAUGUACCCAGAUCUACGGAAUAGCCUCGGGAAACUGAGAGUAAUACCGUAUACGCCCUUCGGGGGAAAGAUUUAUCGGAGAAGGAUUAGCCCGCGUAAGAUUAGAUAGUUGGUGGGGUAAUGGCCUACCAAGUCUACGAUCUUUAGCUGGUUUUAGAGGAUGAUC
This 218-nucleotide ribosomal RNA is filed under the name uncultured bacterium. RNAcentral's name for it is "partial 16S ribosomal RNA". It matches the Rfam family "Bacterial small subunit ribosomal RNA", at positions 57 to 305 of the family's 1533-position model. The record is from RNAcentral.